AAGUCGUAACAAGGUCUCCGUAGGUGAACCUGCGGAGGGAUCCAAUUGAAUGAAAGCGUUGCCCCUAGCGGGUAGAUCUCCCACCCUUUGUAUAUCAUACCAUUGUUGCUUUGUCGGGCCCGACUCUCGGGACCGCCGGCUCCGGCUGGCCAGCGCCCGACAGGGGAAUCAAACUCUUGUAUUUUUGUCGUCAGAGUACUAUAUCAAUAGCUAAAA
RNAcentral lists this unclassified non-coding RNA (216 nucleotides) under plant metagenome. Its description in RNAcentral is "partial contains small subunit ribosomal RNA and internal transcribed spacer 1". The stretch from base 1 to 46 matches the Rfam family "Eukaryotic small subunit ribosomal RNA", at positions 1786 to 1831 of the family's 1831-position model. The record is from RNAcentral.